Molecule: ribosomal RNA, 564 nt
Filed under: Staphylococcus saprophyticus
Lineage: Bacteria; Bacillati; Bacillota; Bacilli; Caryophanales; Staphylococcaceae
Description: bacterial SSU rRNA
Rfam family: Bacterial small subunit ribosomal RNA
Source: RNAcentral
UAAGCACUCCGCCUGGGGAGUGCGUCCGCAAGGUUGAAACUCAAAGGAAUUGACGGGGAGCCGCACAAGCGGUGGAGCAUGUGGUUUAAUUAGAAGCAACGCGAAGAACCUUACCAAAUCUUGACAUCCUUUGAAAACUUUAGAGAUAGAGCCUUCCCCUUCGGGGGACAAAGUGACAGGUGGUGCAUGGUUGUCGUCAGCUCGUGUCGUGAGAUGUUGGGUUAAGUCCCGCAACGAGCGCAACCCUUAAGCUUAGUUGCCAUCAUUAAGUUGGGCACUCUAGGUUGACUGCCGGUGACAAACCGGAGGAAGGUGGGGAUGACGUCAAAUCAUCAUGCCCCUUAUGAUUUGGGGUACACACGUGCUACAAUGGACAAUACAAAGGGCAGCUAAACCGCGAGGUCAUGCAAAUCCCAUAAAGUUGUUUUCAGUUCGGAUUGUAGUUUGCAACUCGACUACAUGAAGCUGGAAUCGCUAGUAAUCGUAGAUCAGCAUGCUACGGUGAAUACGUUCCCGGGUCUUGUACACACCGCCCGUCACACCACGAGAGUUUGUAACACCCGA